GGUAAUUUAGUAUUAAAAGUAGUAAAUUUUUGUACAAUAAAAGUGAACGUUGAGGUCCGUGUUGUAAUUUUAGUUUUUUUGUAAAUCUACAUGUAAGUUUAGGCUAGUAAAAAAAGUUGUAAAAUAAAUUAGGAGAUUCUCAGUAGAAAAUUUUGGAAAUAUAUAAAAA
This 169-nucleotide ribosomal RNA is filed under the name Tetraclita rubescens. RNAcentral describes it as "partial small subunit ribosomal RNA". Lineage: Eukaryota; Metazoa; Arthropoda; Thecostraca; Balanomorpha; Tetraclitidae. The record is from RNAcentral.